Long non-coding RNA from Harpegnathos saltator (Jerdon's jumping ant), 679 nucleotides. RefSeq lists it as uncharacterized. The transcript has 2 exons. Lineage: Eukaryota; Metazoa; Arthropoda; Insecta; Hymenoptera; Formicidae. The record is from RefSeq and is a predicted model, not a curated record.
UAUUUCGACGACCAAUUGUAGCGUCACCUUCAACUGUAGAUAAUAUAGUUAAAAGUUGUGUGGCACUGCACAAUUGGCUUCGAGAUUCAGAUCUGAAAGUUUUACCUGGUCAGAGAAAAUAUAUUCCAGUAGGAUUUAUAGAUGAAGAAGAUCGCUUUGGAAAUGUAGAACCUGGUCAAUGGCGAAACGAAGCACCAUCUGGUGCACUUAGAGAUUUAGCACCAAAUAUAAGAAGAAACUCAGCAAAUGAUGCCAAGAUAAUACGAAAUACAUACGCAGAUUAUUUUAUGAAGGAAGGUUAUGUACCUUGGCAAUGGAAUAAGCUACCAAACUUUCAACGAGAAGCAUACAUGCAACAGGCAUAAGGCUGAUUUUGAGAAUGACUACUCAUUCGAUGACUAGUCUGAGGACGAGACGAGACACUAUCAGGACGAGGAGAAGCACUAUUAGGACGAGAGGAGGCAUAAUGAGGACGAGGGGAGGCGCUAUUAGGACGAGUGGAGGCGCUAUUAGGACGAGGGGAGGCGCUAUUAGGACGAAGGGAGGCGCUAUUAGGAUGAGGGGAGACACUAUCAAGACGAAUCAAAGCACUGUUAGAACGAGACAAAGUAUUAUUAGGACGAGGAGAGGCACUGUUAGAAGGACGAGACGGCAUAUUUAAUAAAUGCGGUGAACAAAA